RNAcentral lists this ribosomal RNA (492 nucleotides) under uncultured bacterium. RNAcentral describes it as "partial 16S ribosomal RNA". It matches the Rfam family "Bacterial small subunit ribosomal RNA", at positions 29 to 507 of the family's 1533-position model. The record is from RNAcentral.
AGUGAACGCUGGCGGUAGGCCUAACACAUGCAAGUCGAACGGCAGCACAGUAAGAGCUUGCUCUUACGGGUGGCGAGUGGCGGACGGGUGAGGAAUACAUCGGAAUCUACUUUUUCGUGGGGGAUAACGUAGGGAAACUUACGCUAAUACCGCAUACGAUCUACGGGUGAAAGCAGGGGAUCUUCUGACCUUGCGCGAUUGAAUGAGCCGAUGUCGGAUUAGCUAGUUGGCGGGGUAAAUGCCCACCAAGGCGACGAUCCGUAGCUGGUCUGAGAGGAUGAUCAGCCACACUGGAACUGAGACACGGUCCAGACUCCUACGAGAGGCAGCAGUGGGGAAUAUUAGACAAUGGGCGCAAGCCUGAUCCAGCCAGACCGCGUGGGUGAAGAAGGCCUUCGGGUUGUAAAGCCCUUUUGUUGGGAAAGAAAAGCAGCAGGUUAAUACCACGCUGUUCUGACGGUACCCAAAGAAUAAGCACCGGCUAACUUCGUG